This 545-nucleotide ribosomal RNA is filed under the name uncultured bacterium. RNAcentral describes it as "bacterial SSU rRNA". It matches the Rfam family "Bacterial small subunit ribosomal RNA", at positions 110 to 650 of the family's 1533-position model. The record is from RNAcentral.
GUAAUGCCUAGGAAUCUGCCUAGUAGUGGGGGAUAACGUCCGGAAACGGGCGCUAAUACCGCAUACGUCCUACGGGAGAAAGUGGGGGAUCUUCGGACCUCACGCUAUUAGAUGAGCCUAGGUCGGAUUAGCUAGUUGGUGAGGUAAUGGCUCACCAAGGCGACGAUCCGUAACUGGUCUGAGAGGAUGAUCAGUCACACUGGAACUGAGACACGGUCCAGACUCCUACGGGAGGCAGCAGUGGGGAAUAUUGGACAAUGGGCGAAAGCCUGAUCCAGCCAUGCCGCGUGUGUGAAGAAGGUCUUCGGAUUGUAAAGCACUUUAAGUUGGGAGGAAGGGCAGUUACCUAAUACGUGAUUGUUUUGACGUUACCGACAGAAUAAGCACCGGCUAACUCUGUGCCAGCAGCCGCGGUAAUACAGAGGGUGCAAGCGUUAAUCGGAAUUACUGGGCGUAAAGCGCGCGUAGGUGGUUUGUUAAGUUGGAUGUGAAAGCCCCGGGCUCAACCUGGGAAACUGCAUCCAAAACUGGCAAGCUAGAGUAUG